CACGUAGGGUGCGAGCGUUGUCCGGAAUUAUUGGGCGUAAAGAGCUCGUAGGCGGUGUGUCGCGUCGGCCGUGAAAACCUGCAGCUUAACCGUGGGCUUGCGGUCGAUACGGGCAUCACUGGAGUUCGGCAGGGGAGACUGGAAUUCCUGGUGUAGCGGUGAAAUGCGCAGAUAUCAGGAGGAACACCGGUGGCGAAGGCGGGUCUCUGGGCCGAAAUUGACGCUGAGGAGCGAAAGCGUGGGGAGCAAACAGG
Molecule: ribosomal RNA, 254 nt
Filed under: uncultured bacterium
Lineage: Bacteria
Description: partial 16S ribosomal RNA
Rfam family: Bacterial small subunit ribosomal RNA
Source: RNAcentral